Molecule: RNA transcript, 2217 nt
Organism: Setaria italica (foxtail millet)
Lineage: Eukaryota; Viridiplantae; Streptophyta; Magnoliopsida; Poales; Poaceae
Exons: 2
Source: RefSeq, a predicted model, not a curated record
GCGCACUGGCCUGCCUCCGACGGGGCUCUGUGGGCUGUGGCUUUGGCGACGUGGAGGGCUGCGUCUCCGAUCCCGGCCCGCACUUCGCGAGGGGACUCAUCAUGCCGGAUCGGGCGCUCUACGGCGACCGCUCAGCCGCUGAUCGGCCCGCUGCCCACAACCUGGUUUUUCCGCAACCGGAUGGCAGCAAUUGUCAUUGCUUCACGAUUCGCGGCAGUCAACUUGUCUCCCGCGCUCGUCUCUGCCUCCCGACGCCGCCAGGCACGAAAGGUGCUGCCCGCUGUAAAAUUAGGCAAUCCUCAGGCACGGGCGUCAACAGCGCCCUCCACCCCAGCGGCUCCCAACCCUACCGGCAUCGUCUUCCUCCGCCGCCGCCUCCACCUCCCCAGCUGCGGCUCCUCCGCCUCCUCCACCGCCACCUCCCCAUCUGCGGCUCCUCCGCCACAUCGAUUCCAAGGUCAGCUCCAACCUCUUGUAUACGGCUCCUCCUCCGUAGGCACUUGUAUCCGGCAGCUCCUCCACCGACUCCACCUCUUCCCCCGACGCGCUGGUCGCGGCUGCCACAUCCUCCCCGACGCACAGCUCGCGGCGCACCUGCACUGACUCCACCUCUUUCGCCGUACGAUUGAUUUCUGCAGACUAAAGACGUCCUCAACCUCACAGUCGCCAGGCAUUGCUAUCUCUCCCCAACACUGGGUCCUUCAUGGAUGGUGUUCAAGGCAGCAAGAAUGACUAUGAUUCCACUCAAGACAAACAAGGCGCUACCGUUUCUGGUCUGGAUUCAUACAAGGACGUAGGAUUUAAUGGCGUUCUUGAACCGGAUAUAUGUGGCCCAUCAUCAGAACUGCGAAACGACAUUCAUCAGGGUAAGUCAUUCAUUUACAUGUUAUGCAGUAAUUUCUAGCGACAAUGAUACUGUUGUAGUGUUUAAUAGCUUGGAAUUGAUAUCUUUUUGUUCAUAGAUUCAGUCUCAUAUUUAUGUAGGCAAUUAAUGUUUUCUCUCUCUCUCUCUCUCUCUCUCUUUGCAGAUCUCGUUUCUGUAUUACUAAAUGUUGGAUCCUAUAAAUAAAUUUGGUAGUUCGUAUUACAGUUUGAUGACAACAUAAGGAAGGAAGUUUUUAAUUAUGGAAGAGAUUAUAUCUACGGAGGCUGAGAUCUAGUGCGAUUAUCUUUUUCCUACACCAUAGCUUUUCUAGAUUGAAAAUACCAGAGUCUGCUAAUCUGACCUUAAAGAAGAAAAUGCAUCUGACUUAAAACCAAGAAAAAUUAGUUACUGCAUUGUGUUGUUUUUCUUUUUGCAUACAAUUAAACAGCUUGUUCAUUGGUUACACAAUAUCAGUUGUCAUGUUUAUACUGUCUCAACCAUAUAGGUUUUACUUUGUUUAUUUUGCCCAUUGCUUGGUUCAGUAUAUUAGUUGUUGCUCAUGGGUUUGUUUUGCUCCUUUCAGUAAUCAGUAUAUUAGUUGUCACUCAUGGGUUCGUUUUGCUCCUUUCACUAUCUUAUAUUAUCACCCAGAGUGCUGUAGUAUGUUAAUUGUUCGCCAUCUGGUUGAUUUCACUCCCUGCCCAAAUUCUAUUGCAUUAAUAAUGUGUUUUCGGAGUGCCAGAAUGCAAUCUUCAAUCGACAGCCUUGGAAUCUGUCAGAUGUACAAGGUUAAAGAUCCUCUCUUUUACUCUAUUAUGUCUAUUAUCUAAAUAGAAAUUAGUUUUUGGCGGCGGCCGGAAGAGGUGGCGGCGGAGGAAGAUGGCGGGCAGGCCGGAGGAGGUUGCGGCGGAGGGUGAACCAAAAUAAGUCGCGGCGAACUCGCCAGAACUAGGCGGCGGCGUCGGCGGGCGGCCAAAUCCGAAGGUAGGGCAGCGCACGGGAAAAUGCCUGGAGGCAAGCCGCGCGAGGCACGCAGGCGGACGGCCGGUCAACGAAGUGAGGCAGGUUCUGCACGAAUGUUAAAGCUGGACGGACGGGUGGAGAUAAAGAGAGGUACACCAACCGGUUGUGGGAAUGAUUUUUCGCUGCCCACGUACACACGAGCAUGGCGGUGCGCCAGCGGUGGCACGUAAUUUCUUAUGAAUUUUCCUUUCUCGAAAACGGGGCAGGAAUUAUAACUUUAGUUAGUUAGUUGAUCAUACCGCACUAGGUGUGCACCAAGCACCUCCUCCGGUUCUUCUGAGGGUUACUCCCUCCGUCAAGUUAUUCCAAAAAUCUAGAGUUAAAAAGUA